UGUUUUGCUUUCGACGCCUUGGAAUUCAAUUGUUUAGAAAAAAAAGGGGGAGAAAUUUAUGGUGAAGUAGGAAGGAAGAAGGGUCUUGGAUUCUUCGUUGGUCCGUGGGCGGCCCCAACUGUAACCUUCAACUUUGCUUGAAUUUACGGUGUCUGCCAAUUUCACCCAAAAGAGGAAAUUAAAUAAUAUUAAGCAAAGGUGAAAAAACAAAGCUUGUGCAGAGACGUCUUCUUUUCCCUUCCCUUUCCUUCCCUUUUAUUUCGUGUUUCCUAGCUCCGCGUAUUCGACAAUCAGUCAGUUACCGGAUAUCAGGAGUAGUUAGUUUUUGCCAUCUGAUUCAUCGUCGAGGUCUUCUUUCUCGAUUUCCGGCGACUAGUUUUUCUCGGCUUCUUCUGUAGAUCUGAGGCGUUAUUUGAUUGAUUUUCUCAGUUGUGGUCUAUUUUGCGGUUUGUGAGAUGAAAAUUCUGUGAAGGUAUUUUGGGUUUUGGGGCUAAGGCUUUUUCGGAGAUAUGGAGGAGUUAGGUGCGCAAGUUGCUCCUCCAAUAUUCAUCCAUCAAGCGCUUUCUAGCCGAUUUUGUGACGCGACUUCCAUGGCCAAAAAGCGUGAUCUUUCUUAUCAAACACCCAAUUUUCAGCUCCAGCAGCAGCAUCGUUUUGUUCCAAACCCUAGAGACAACUGGAAUCCCAAGGCAUGGAACUGGGAUAGCAUCAGGUUUGUCGCUAAACCCUCAGAUGCUGACACCAACGCUUUGCAAUUGGGCUCUGCAACCUUGGAGCCGAAGAAGAAGACUGAAGCUUCUGGAAAUCAUUUGCCUUUGAAAAAGGCCGCUGUGGAUGAA
This 839-nucleotide unclassified non-coding RNA is filed under the name Hevea brasiliensis (rubber tree). Lineage: Eukaryota; Viridiplantae; Streptophyta; Magnoliopsida; Malpighiales; Euphorbiaceae. The record is from RNAcentral.